This 414-nucleotide ribosomal RNA is filed under the name uncultured bacterium. RNAcentral describes it as "bacterial SSU rRNA". It matches the Rfam family "Bacterial small subunit ribosomal RNA", at positions 27 to 407 of the family's 1533-position model. The record is from RNAcentral.
GAAUCAACGCUGGCGGCGUGCUUAACACAUGCAAGUCGAACGCGGUUACUGCCUCUCCGCAAGGAGAGAUGGUGACUGAGUGGCGAACGGGUGAGUAACACGUGGGUGAUCUACCUCUGAGUGGAGGAUAACGUUCCGAAAGGAACGCUAAUACCGCAUGACGUUUCUGGGUUUGAAGACCUGGAAACCAAAGCUGGGGCCCUUAGGGCAACUUAAGGCCUGGCGCUUGGAGAGGAACCCGCGCCUGAUUAGCUAGUUGGUGAGGUUACGGCUCACCAAGGCGACGAUCAGUAGCGGCCUGAGAGGGCGGACGGCCACACUGGGGACUGAGACACGGCCCAGACUCCUACGGGAGGCAGCAGUGGGAAUUGUUCGCAAUGGGCGCAAGCCUGACGACGCAACGCCGCGUGGAGG